RNAcentral lists this unclassified non-coding RNA (1478 nucleotides) under uncultured fungus. RNAcentral describes it as "sequence contains 18S rRNA gene, ITS1, 5.8S rRNA gene, ITS2, 28S rRNA gene". The stretch from base 431 to 1478 matches the Rfam family "Eukaryotic large subunit ribosomal RNA", at positions 1 to 961 of the family's 3401-position model. The record is from RNAcentral. Lineage: Eukaryota; Fungi.
GGAAGGAUCAUUAAAAAAAAUGAGGUAUUUUAUACCUCUUGUAUUUAAAACCAACUCUUUUUUUAAAAUAUAAAAUUUUUUUAAAAAAAUAAAAACUUUCAACAAUGGAUCUCUUGGCUCUUGCAUCGAUGAAGAACGCAGCGAAAUGCGAUAAGUAAUAUGAAUUGCAGAAUUCCGUGAAUCAUCAAAUUUUUGAACGCAAAUUGCACUUCUUGGUAUUCCGAGAAGUACACAUGCUUGAGGGUCAGUUAAAAAAAAUCGUACAUCACUGAUGUUGCGAAUCUGGGUAUUCCGAUUUUAUAAAUUGGUUAUCUAAAAUUAAUAUAAAAUAUGUAAUGUGAAGCGUACUAAUCUAUGUAGUCACUAAUCAUUUAUACUUAUUACAUUGUAGCUAAAGUAUUAUUUAGUUGGGGUGUAUAAAUUAUGAAAAUGACCUCAAGUCAUGUGAGAGUACCCGCUGAACUUAAGCAUAUCAAUAAGCGGAGGAAAAGAAACUAACAAGGAUUCCCCUAGUAACGGCGAGUGAAGCGGGAAGAGCACAAAUUUUAAAUCUACCUGGUUUCCAGGUUGAGUUGUAAUUUGAGGAUACGUUUUUGAUAUUCCUGGUUGGACUAAAUCCUUUGGGAUAAGGUAUCAUAGAGGGUGAGAAUCCCGUGUAUACCAACCACAGGGAUGUUAUUUAAUAACGUUUCUAAGAGUCGAGUUGUUUGGGAAUGCAGCUCUAAAUGGGUGGUAAAUUUCACCUAAUGCUAAAUAUAAGCGAGAGACCGAUAGCGAACAAGUACAGUGAUGGAAAGAUGAAAAGAACUUUGAAAAGAGAGUUAAAUAGUACGUGAAAUUGUUGAAAGGGAAACGAUUAAAGUCAGUCAUGCCGGUGGGAAUCAACUUAGAGGAAACUCUAGGUGCACUUCUUCGCUUGGCAGGUUAGUGUCGAUUUUGGAUGUCAUAAAAUAACUGGGGGAAGGUAGCUCCCUUGGGAGUGUUAUAGCCCUUGGUAGAUGUGAUGUCUGGGAUCGAGGAUUGCAACGGAUACCCUUUGGGGCUAGUCACCUGAUCUCUAAUUAGUGUUGGAUUACGGACAGCAUGCUGACCGUGAUUUAAUUAUUGGUUAAAAGGUUAGAGUGUACAUAAAUUCGUUAAGGACACUGACGUAAUGGCUUUAAACGACCCGUCUUGAAACACGGACCAAGGAGUCUAACAUGUAUGCGAGUGUUAGGGUAUUAAACCCAGACGCGAAAUUAAAGUGAGUGUAGGUGGGAUCCUUUAUUGGAGCACCAUCGACCGAUCUUGAGAUUUAUCGAUAGAAUUGAGUUAGAGCAUACCUGUUGGGACCCGAAAGAUGGUGAACUAUGCCUGAAUAGAGCGAAGCCAGAGGAAACUCUGGUGGAGGCUCGUAGCGGUUCUGACGUGCAAAUCGAUCGUCAAAUUUGGGUAUAGGGGCGAAAGACUAAUCGAACCAUCUAGUAGCUGGUUCCUGC